Molecule: ribosomal RNA, 466 nt
Filed under: uncultured bacterium
Lineage: Bacteria
Description: partial 16S ribosomal RNA
Rfam family: Bacterial small subunit ribosomal RNA
Source: RNAcentral
GAUGAACGCUGGCGGCGUGCUUAACACAUGCAAGUCGAACGGAAAGGCCCUUGCUUGCAGGGGUACUCGAGUGGCGAACGGGUGAGUAACACGUGGGUGAUCUGCCCUGCACUUCGGGAUAAGCCUGGGAAACUGGGUCUAAUACCGGAUGGGACCAUCGUUUAGUGUCGGUGGUGGAAAGUUUUUUCGGUGUGGGAUGAGCUCGCGGCCUAUCAGCUUGUUGGUGGGGUAAUGGCCUACCAAGGCGUCGACGGGUAGCCGGCCUGAGAGGGUGUACGGCCACAUUGGGACUGAGAUACGGCCCAGACUCCUACGGGAGGCAGCAGUGGGGAAUAUUGCACAAUGGGCGCAAGCCUGAUGCAGCGACGCCGCGUGGGGGAUGACGGCCUUCGGGUUGUAAACUCCUUUCGUCAGGGACGAAGCGAAAGUGACGGUACCUGGAUAAGAAGCACCGGCUAACUACGUG